RNAcentral lists this unclassified non-coding RNA (240 nucleotides) under soil metagenome. RNAcentral's name for it is "partial contains 5.8S ribosomal RNA, internal transcribed spacer 2, and large subunit ribosomal RNA". The record is from RNAcentral.
AACGCACGAGACCUGCGGACCUGCGGAAGGAUCAUUACCGAGUGAGGGCCCUCUGGGUCCAACCUCCCACCCGUGUUUAUUUUACCUUGUUGCUUCGGUGGGCCCGCCGUCAGGCCGCCGGGGGUUCGUCCCCAGGCCCGCGCCCACCGAAGACACACCGAACUCUGUCUGAAUGUUGCAGUCUGAGUAUUAUAACUAAAUUAGUUAAAACUUUCAGCAACGGAUCUCUAGAUCGGAAGA